RNAcentral lists this transfer RNA (78 nucleotides) under Methanobacteriota archaeon. RNAcentral's name for it is "Euryarchaeota archaeon tRNA-Glu". It matches the Rfam family "tRNA". Rfam says of the family: Transfer RNA (tRNA) molecules are approximately 80 nucleotides in length. Their secondary structure includes four short double-helical elements and three loops (D, anti-codon, and T loops). Lineage: Archaea; Methanobacteriati; Methanobacteriota. The record is from RNAcentral. RNAcentral also lists the same sequence under 2 other names.
GCUCGCGUGGUGUAGUCCGGCCCAUCAUACUGGGUUUUCGAUCCGGCGACCCGGGUUCGAAUCCCGGCGCGAGCACCA